This 182-nucleotide ribosomal RNA is filed under the name Myotis sodalis (Indiana bat). Its description in RNAcentral is "partial 16S ribosomal RNA". Lineage: Eukaryota; Metazoa; Chordata; Mammalia; Chiroptera; Vespertilionidae. The record is from RNAcentral.
AGAAGCAAUAAUGUUAAUAUGAGUAACAAGAAAAUUUUCUCCCUGCAUGAGUGUAUAUCAGAACGAAUGAUGCACUGGUAGUUAACAAAUAUAGACAUAACUAGCUAACUAAAAUCUUAAUACAACUGUUAGUCCAACACAGGCAUGCACCCAGGAAAGAUAAAAGAAGUAAAAGGAACGGC